Long non-coding RNA from Pocillopora verrucosa, 451 nucleotides. RefSeq lists it as uncharacterized. The record is from RefSeq and is a predicted model, not a curated record. Lineage: Eukaryota; Metazoa; Cnidaria; Anthozoa; Scleractinia; Pocilloporidae.
CGUUACUCAUGCGAUCAACUGAAAUUACUUUGAGUGGCCGAGGUUGUGCAACAAUGGUCUCGUUGUUAACAUCAAUGUCUGAGUGCCUUCGCUCCUCUGGCAGGAUGAAGUCUUUCCGUGCUAAAUUCACAGAAACCACUGUAAAUCACAGACUGUGACGACUUAGACGUUUAAAUCACAAGAACAAUUGACAUGAAGGCAACUACAAAAGGAUUGGAAUCGGCAACGCAAGUAAAACUACUCCAGAAACACAGCAAAUGGAACCAACUAUCUUACCAAGAAUCGAUGACGGCACGACGUCCCCGUAACUACACGGUGAUAAACAUAAUACAACAUAUAUAUUAGAACGAUUGAAUCACUCGAUUAAUUACGACACAGAGCAAUUUCUAGCUAACGAGAAACAUAUUUACGUUGCAGCUACGUUAAGUAUAUACAGUUGAUACGAAUAAAA